ACGGGUGCGUAACGCGUGGGAAUCUGCCCUUAGGUUCGGAAUAACAGCUGGAAACGGCUGCUAAUACCGGAUGAUGACGAAAGUCCAAAGAUUUAUUGCCUGAGGAUGAGCCCGCGUUGGAUUAGGUAGUUGGUGGGGUAAAGGCCUACCAAGCCGACGAUCCAUAGCUGGUCUGAGAGGAUGAUCAGCCACACUGGGACUGAGACACGGCCCAGACUCCUACGGGAGGCAGCAGUGGGGAAUAUUGGACAAUGGGCGAAAGCCUGAUCCAGCAAUGCCGCGUGAGUGAUGAAGGCCCUAGGGUUGUAAAGCUCUUUUACCCGGGAAGAUAAUGACUGUACCGGGAGAAUAAGCCCCGGCUAACUCCGUGCCAGCAGCCGCGGUAAUACGGAGGGGGCUAGCGUUGUUCGGAAUUACUGGGCGUAAAGCGCACGUAGGCGGCUUUGUAAGUCAGAGGUGGAAGCCUGGAGCUCAACUCCAGAACUGCCUUUGAGACUGCAUCGCUUGAAUCCAGGAGAGGUCAGUGGAAUUCCGAGUGUAGAGGUGAAAUUCGUAGA
This 557-nucleotide ribosomal RNA is filed under the name uncultured bacterium. Its description in RNAcentral is "bacterial SSU rRNA". It matches the Rfam family "Bacterial small subunit ribosomal RNA", at positions 102 to 694 of the family's 1533-position model. The record is from RNAcentral.